AUACGUAGGGGGCGAGCGUUGUCCGGAAUGAUUGGGCGUAAAGGGCGCGUAGGCGGCCCGGUAAGUCUGGAGUGAAAGCCCUGCUUUUAAGGUGGGAAUUGCUUUGGAUACUGUCGGGCUUGAGUGCAGGAGAGGUAAGUGGAAUUCCCAGUGUAGCGGUGAAAUGCGUAGAGAUUGGGAGGAACACCAGUGGCGAAGGCGACUUACUGGACUGUAACUGACGCUGAGGCGCGAAAGUGUGGGGAGCAAACAGGAUUAGAUACCCUGGUAGUCCACACUGUAAACGAUGAAUGCUAGGUGUAGGGGGUAUCGACCCCUUCUGUGCCGCAGUUAACACAAUAAGCAUUCCGCCUGGGGAGUACGGCCGCAAGGUUGAAACUCAAAUGAAUUGACGGGG
Molecule: ribosomal RNA, 397 nt
Filed under: uncultured bacterium
Lineage: Bacteria
Description: partial 16S ribosomal RNA
Rfam family: Bacterial small subunit ribosomal RNA
Source: RNAcentral